This is a non-coding RNA of Canis lupus familiaris (dog), 70 nucleotides long. The record is from Rfam. Lineage: Eukaryota; Metazoa; Chordata; Mammalia; Carnivora; Canidae.
UUACGAUGAUGUGGAUUUCUUACUGAAUUAAACCUUGAAGUGCAAAUCCAGGAGUUUAAUCCUCAGCAGU